RNAcentral lists this ribosomal RNA (870 nucleotides) under uncultured beta proteobacterium. RNAcentral's name for it is "bacterial SSU rRNA". It matches the Rfam family "Bacterial small subunit ribosomal RNA", at positions 28 to 896 of the family's 1533-position model. RNAcentral also lists the same sequence under 1 other name. The record is from RNAcentral. Lineage: Bacteria; Pseudomonadati; Pseudomonadota; Betaproteobacteria.
AUUGAACGCUGGCGGAAUGCUUUACACAUGCAAGUCGAACGGUAGAGGGGGCAACCCCUCGAGAGUGGCGAACGGGUGAGUAAUAUAUCGGAACGUGCCCAGUCGUGGGGGAUAACGUAGCGAAAGUUACGCUAAUACCGCAUACGAUCUAUGGAUGAAAGCGGGGGACUCGCAAGAGCCUCGCGCGAUUGGAGCGGCCGAUAUCAGAUUAGGUAGUUGGUGGGGUAAAGGCUCACCAAGCCAACGAUCUGUAGCUGGUCUGAGAGGACGACCAGCCACACUGGAACUGAGACACGGUCCAGACUCCUACGGGAGGCAGCAGUGGGGAAUUUUGGACAAUGGACGCAAGUCUGAUCCAGCCAUUCCGCGUGCAGGAUGAAGGCCCUCGGGUUGUAAACUGCUUUUGUACGGAACGAAAAGGUUUCUCUUAAUACGGGGAGCUCAUGACGGUACCGUAAGAAUAAGCACCGGCUAACUACGUGCCAGCAGCCGCGGUAAUACGUAGGGUGCAAGCGUUAAUCGGAAUUACUGGGCGUAAAGCGUGCGCAGGCGGUUAUGUAAGACAGAGGUGAAAUCCCCGGGCUCAACCUGGGAACUGCCUUUGUGACUGCAUAGCUAGAGUACGGUAGAGGGGGAUGGAAUUCCGCGUGUAGCAGUGAAAUGCGUAGAUAUGCGGAGGAACACCGAUGGCGAAGGCAAUCCCCUGGACCUGUACUGACGCUCAUGCACGAAAGCGUGGGGAGCAAACAGGAUUAGAUACCCUGGUAGUCCACGCCCUAAACGAUGUCAACUGGUUGUUGGGUCUUCACUGACUCAGUAACGAAGCUAACGCGUGAAGUUGACCGCCUGGGGAGUACGGCCGCAAGGUUG